CAGAUGGCAGAGCCCUUUCUCUAAAUGCAUGGCAUGAAAAGGCAUUUCAAAGGUUGGAAAGAGAGCUUCAGCAUUAAUCAUGAUGGGAUAGCGGAAACUGGCUUUGCAAGGGAUGGACUGGACUUCAGGGAAGAUGGACAGCCUGAGCUCACUUUCAGGAGAGCUCACUUUCAGGAGAUCAGUCAGGGCUGUCAUUCCAGGGCCUGGGUGGAGGGCUUCUGCUGUGCCAGGGAACAGGUGUCUGGACUCGGUCUCCCAGGGGAGAAGCAGGCCCCCCACAAAGGACAUAAAUCUCUACAGAUGAGGAUACCUCACUGGGCUUUUGUUUGUCAGCCAAAAAGGGAAAAACAUUUCAGCAGAGGCCUCAAAGGCAGAACAAAAUAGUGCAAGGAGCCGCACAUCCGCACAGUGCUGAGACCCUGCCCAGGACAAGCUUGGCCGCAGUAUUCCCUUUGGCACCCCCACCCACCUGGAACAAAGCCUGAUGUAAAGUCUGGGUGCGACUCAGACCGGCCUGGGAAAGAAUUUAUUUAAUAAAUGGUGGAAAGUGGCUUCCUUGACGUGUCUUCGAUGGCUU
RNAcentral lists this long non-coding RNA (577 nucleotides) under Homo sapiens (human). Its description in RNAcentral is "HSALNT0305421". The record is from RNAcentral. Lineage: Eukaryota; Metazoa; Chordata; Mammalia; Primates; Hominidae.